UACGAAGGAUGCAAGCGUUAUCCGGAAUUAUUGGGUUUAAAGGGUGCGUAGGCGGACCUAUAAGUCAGUGGUGAAAGCCCCAAGCUCAACUUGGGAACUGCCAUUGAUACUGUUGGUCUUGAGUACAGUUGAGGUAGGCGGAAUGCGUCAUGUAGCGGUGAAAUGCUUAGAUAUGACACAGAACACCGAUUGCGAAGGCAGCUUGCUAAGCUGUAACUGACGCUGAUGCACGAAAGCGUGGGUAGCAAACAGG
RNAcentral lists this ribosomal RNA (253 nucleotides) under uncultured bacterium. RNAcentral's name for it is "partial 16S ribosomal RNA". It matches the Rfam family "Bacterial small subunit ribosomal RNA", at positions 524 to 776 of the family's 1533-position model. RNAcentral also lists the same sequence under 1 other name. The record is from RNAcentral.